Molecule: long non-coding RNA, 289 nt
Organism: Oreochromis aureus
Lineage: Eukaryota; Metazoa; Chordata; Actinopteri; Cichliformes; Cichlidae
Exons: 3
Source: RefSeq, a predicted model, not a curated record
UGAAGGUGAAGUCUGAUGUGGAUCUCACUGACUCCGCUGCCUCCAGUCUAAUCCUACAGAAGUUGGAGACCAUCCUGAGAGAUCAAGGGGUGGCUGAUUUCAAACUCAGCUGGCAAAGUGAUAAAAAUGGCAGUGUCUUUCAGCAUUAGUUGGAAACCACAGAGAAGACGGGAUGCUGACUGCAGAAGUACCUAUGUUGUUUUACUGUAGCGCUGAUGGAUGGAAACAGAUUAUUUAAAGAUUGUGUCUCACCUCACUGAAUUUAGGUGGAAACUAUAGGUUGGAAGUA